This 500-nucleotide ribosomal RNA is filed under the name uncultured bacterium. Its description in RNAcentral is "partial 16S ribosomal RNA". It matches the Rfam family "Bacterial small subunit ribosomal RNA", at positions 29 to 523 of the family's 1533-position model. The record is from RNAcentral.
AUUGAACGCUGGCGGCAUGCCUUACACAUGCAAGUCGAACGGCAGCACGGGAGCAAUCCUGGUGGCGAGUGGCGAACGGGUGAGUAAGGUAUCGGAACGUGCCCAGACGUGGGGGAUAACGUAGCGAAAGUUACGCUAAUACCGCAUACGAUCUAUGGAGGAAAGCGGGGGAUCGCAAGACCUCGCGCGAUUGGAGCGGCCGAUAUCAGAUUAGGUAGUUGGUGGGGUAAAGGCUCACCAAGCCGACGAUCUGUAGCUGGUCUGAGAGGACGACCAGCCACACUGGGACUGAGACACGGCCCAGACUCCUACGGGAGGCAGCAGUGGGGAAUUUUGGACAAUGGGCGAAAGCCUGAUCCAGCCAUGCCGCGUGCAGGAUGAAGGCCUUCGGGUUGUAAACUGCUUUUGUACGGAACGAAAAGGUUUGGGCUAAUAAGCUGAGCUCAUGACGGUACCGUAAGAAUAAGCACCGGCUAACUACGUGCCAGCAGCCGCCGCCG